GAUCAGUAUCCCGAUCGUUACUAUAAGAUUCAUUUCUGUAACUAUUAAGUAUGCAACCCGGUAUACGUUCACUCGCAUAGAGUGUAAUCUAAACUUGAGCCCAUUAUAAUUAUUUUGGUUGGUAGUAUGGUUAGUGAAUUUUACAUUUAUUCGUUGGCUCAUGGGUAAAUGACAAUUUCCGCCUGUUGACAGGACGGAAAGAAAGUGAAAGUUGAUGGUUACUUGAUCUUCGGUAGCCGUCUGCAAAUGAUGUGAUUUUCCAGCGACCGGUGUCUAGCCAUUUUAUUUUAUUUAGAAAAUAAUUAUUUAGUUGAAAAGGAAUGCAUUUAAGUUGGAAAGAAGUUUAUUUUAUGGUAUAAAUUAUGGUGAGAGUGCUGUUUUAGUUCCAAUAUCGGAGGAUUCUGGACAUUGGGUAAGCGCCAUUUUUUGUUCUUGCCAAGGAAAAAAAAAUAACCAUUUUCUCAUUUUCAAUACCAUACUUACAUUAGGAAAAUUGUUAUUCUGUAACCAUCAGGUCUUAAGUAGUCCCUAUAACUACCAAAUUUAUGUAUUCUACUGAGAAAGAUUCUUUAAAAUUAUAUGUCCAGUUCAAAGUAAUUUCUGACUUAACGACAUUUUCCUUUACUUUUAGUUUACGUCUGUAAAGAAAUCCUUCUUGUAACAUCCAACUUUACAAUCAUAUUUUGCAACAAGUAAUCCUUAACCAUAGUUUAGUUUUUCAAAUGUCUUCACAUGGAAAAAGAAUCAAGGUCAAUCAUACUUCAAUUACACACAUCAGUGAUUCAACUUUUUGUUUCAAGUUUUUUUCUACAAACUUUUUAUAAAUACCUUCCUACAUACCGUGUUUCAUGUUACUCAAAAGAAGUAAUAUGACUGAAAGAUUUUUGUUUUCUUUUAGUCGCUGGAGAAUAGAAGAUUUAGUCAACAGAAAUAAGAAUAAUUUUUGGGAAAGAGUGGGAAAUUUUGGGACAUAUUUGGAAGUUUUGAUUUUAUUGGAAUCUUGGUUUUUAUGGAAUUUAUUUUUUGGAAUUCGCCGGUACUGAGAGGUAUCUCCAGUUGGUAACAAGGAUACACCUCCCUCCUAGGUUGAGGAACACCGCAAGCUACCUUCCUUGGGCCUCUGAUCAUUCCCUGGAAGAAGUUGGAGAACCCAUGGUCACUUGGUAGACCGGACAGGUUUUUAUAAGUCAAUUUGAUUGUAAUUUGUUUUAAUAAUAUUUGCACUUUUACCUAUUUUUUUUUUUUGUAUCAAUAACUUAAUAAUCCUAAUAAUAGUAUACCUUCAUUUUCUUAAACAUAAUUAAACUAAACAAUAAUUUUUCAAAAAUUUUAUAUUUCAAGGUUAGCUCAUUUAUUUUAAAAUAGUAGGGGGGAUUAUAAACUAUCUGUAAAGAUAGUGUGCACAUUAUCUCAGUUUGAAUCCUUAUCGAAACUUUGAUUUCAUUGUCAGGUAUUAUACUUACGUUUAUCACCUCCGAACAGAUACGAUAUUGUCAGCCAAUAUUGGCUUCUUCAUUAACAACAAAUUUGUACAUACAUUUUUACAUUAAUUAACUUUCACAUAUAAACCAUUCUUUUCAUAUUUUUCACAUAUUGUAAAAACCUGUGUUAUCAACAUGAGUGUCAUAGCUUAGUACGUCCGGUUUAGCUAGUGUAUAAAAAUUGUAUAUAGGGGUUAUAGGUUUGUUUCAUUAAAUUUGUUAGUUGUACCUAAA
Molecule: long non-coding RNA, 1715 nt
Filed under: Diabrotica virgifera virgifera (western corn rootworm)
Lineage: Eukaryota; Metazoa; Arthropoda; Insecta; Coleoptera; Chrysomelidae
Description: uncharacterized LOC126880350
Source: RNAcentral